ACACAAGCUCUUUUUAUUUUACAGGAACUGAGACAAAUGAGGAAAAACAGGGCAGGGAGAGGACAGGGUAAAAGAAAAUUAAAAACUGACAGCAUUCCAUUUUAACCCAAUUCUAGAUACAAGUGUACCUUGGAGAUUUCACAUGCAUGAAGUUCAUCUCACACAGCCUAGUCUGAUUGGUAUACAUCAGCACAGAUUACAUAUCCUAAUACAAAUUUAUACAAGUUGAAAAAGUCAUCCCCUAAUUUUAAAAAGCUUACAAAAGCAGAAUUCCUUUAACGGGUCAGAUACUACAAACAACAUCGGCUCAACAGGCAAGAUUCAGUGUUUACCUUAUAUUCAUGAUUCUGACAGUCACAACUAGCACUGUUUCUUCACCCAAGAAAUUUCUCUAAAGGUCAAGCCUGAUAGGGAAGGGAGUGGAAAUAACAAAAGCACGUUUUCUUGCACAAUUUUUCUCAUUAAGAUUAUUAGAAUAUGGUCUUUUCACAGCAAAGAAAAGAAAAAUAACAACAGAAUAUCUUGUAGUAAUCAAUAGGGUUCAGUCUUACAUCACUGAAAUGAGCAGAACAAUCUGUUUCUUUGAGCCAGUCUGUUAACAAAGAAUGGUUUAAAAUAAUCACAGACAGAACACCCACAAAACUUGUUUCAGGAGCAUCUUAAAAGCAGAAAACAUACGAUCUGAAAGCAGAAGCUGAGCAUCAGACAUACCACCAAUACCCAUUCAUGUAAAUCAAGUCUGCCAAAUCUAAUUCUGUGAAUAUUAAGUAGAGUUAUUAACAGUCUUAAUUACACACACACAAAAAAAACCUCCUCUCCCCCCUCACACACACCCCCAUGUAACCAGGGAGUAAAAACCUCAGAGACACUCUUUAAUUUAUAGAAGGUUUUAAAUAUCUGUAAAAUGAAGGAGUAGCUACAAUGUGUAUUUUUUCAGUUCUCUUGCACAGUGGAUUUUUAUCACAUUUCUUCUUCAGUAAAAGCCCACAAAAAAAGCAAGAGAAUUCCUUCAACACUUCAUCCACGUUUUUUAUCAUCCUUCUAAAUUCUUGUUUGCCAUCACUGAGUAUUAUUUUAGCAAGCAGCCAUUCUGUGAGCCUCUAUAUCCUAUAUUAGCUCAGAUGUAGAAUUCCAUUUACAUGCCUUACAGAAGGAUGACAGAGCUGAAUCCAUACCCAGUAGUUUGUGCCACAUUA
This 1196-nucleotide long non-coding RNA is filed under the name Dromaius novaehollandiae (emu). RNAcentral describes it as "lncRNA (ENSDNVG00000013127.1)". Lineage: Eukaryota; Metazoa; Chordata; Aves; Casuariiformes; Dromaiidae. The record is from RNAcentral.